ACCCCCGUGGCCCAGCCUGGAUAGAGCGCCCGGCUCCGGACCGGGAGGUCGCAGGUUCAAGUCCUGUCGGGGGUGCCU
RNAcentral lists this transfer RNA (78 nucleotides) under Chloroflexota bacterium. Its description in RNAcentral is "Chloroflexi bacterium tRNA-Arg". It matches the Rfam family "tRNA". Rfam says of the family: Transfer RNA (tRNA) molecules are approximately 80 nucleotides in length. Their secondary structure includes four short double-helical elements and three loops (D, anti-codon, and T loops). Further hydrogen bonds mediate the characteristic L-shaped molecular structure. tRNAs have two regions of fundamental functional importance: the anti-codon, which is responsible for specific mRNA codon recognition, and the 3' end, to which the tRNAs corresponding amino acid is attached (by aminoacyl-tRNA synthetases). tRNAs cope with the degeneracy of the genetic code in two manners: having more than one tRNA (with a specific anti-codon) for a particular amino acid; and 'wobble' base-pairing, i.e. permitting non-standard base-pairing at the 3rd anti-codon position. Lineage: Bacteria; Bacillati; Chloroflexota. The record is from RNAcentral.